RNAcentral lists this ribosomal RNA (454 nucleotides) under uncultured bacterium. RNAcentral's name for it is "bacterial SSU rRNA". It matches the Rfam family "Bacterial small subunit ribosomal RNA", at positions 30 to 506 of the family's 1533-position model. The record is from RNAcentral.
GCGAACGCUGGCGGCAUGGCUAAAGCAUGCAAGUCGUACGGUUAAGGCCCCUUCGGGGGCGUAUAGAGUGGCGAAAGGGCGAGGAAUACGUUCCUACGUACCCCGAGGCCGGGGAUAGUCUGGGGAAACCCGGGUUAAUACCCGAUGCGGUUCGCCGCAAGGCGAAUCAAAGGCCUCGGCCGCCUUGGGAGCGGGGAACGUCCUAUCAGGUUGUUGGUGGGGUAAUGGCUCACCAAGCCGAAGACGGGUAGCGGGUGUGAGAGCACGGCCCGCCGCAUCGGGACUGAGACACUGCCCGGACUCCUACGGGAGGCUGCAGCAACGAAUCUUCCGCAAUGCGCGAAAGCGUGACGGAGCAAUGCCGCGUGCAGGAUGAAGCCCCUCGGGGUGUAAACUGCUGUCAGGGUUCAGCAACUCAAUGAGCAGACCCAAAGGAAGGGCCGGCUAACUUCGU